This 254-nucleotide ribosomal RNA is filed under the name uncultured bacterium. RNAcentral's name for it is "partial 16S ribosomal RNA". It matches the Rfam family "Bacterial small subunit ribosomal RNA", at positions 524 to 776 of the family's 1533-position model. The record is from RNAcentral.
GACAGAGGGGGCAAGCGUUGCUCGGAAUUACUGGGCGUAAAGGGCGCGCAGGCGGCUGCUCAAGUCAGGCGUGAAAGGCCUGGGCUCAACCCGGGAAUUGCGCUUGAGACUGGGCUGGCUUGAGUGCGGGAGAGGAUGGUGGAAUUCCCAGUGUAGAGGUGAAAUUCGUAGAUAUUGGGAAGAACACCGGUGGCGAAGGCGGCCAUCUGGACCGCAACUGACGCUGAGGCGCGAAAGCGUGGGGAGCAAACAGG